RNAcentral lists this non-coding RNA (95 nucleotides) under Thalassionema nitzschioides. The record is from RNAcentral. Lineage: Eukaryota; Bacillariophyta; Fragilariophyceae; Thalassionematales; Thalassionemataceae.
GAAAAGAAAGAAGGAAGCAAAAUUGCAAGAUGAAAAGAAGCAAAGGAAUAAUGAUUUUGCCACCAUUAGAUUGAUUUCGAUUGUCUUUCAAAUGG